GUCGGCAAUGGGAUGUGCAGCUUCGCAUCAUCUUAAGGCAGAUUUUACAGAUGCCCAUCGUCUGCUCAUUGACUCUCAGCAUCCCAAACGCCUCAGAGCUGUUUGUGAGUGCCCACGGAUUGAUGGCUGAAUGACUGAACACGCAGCACCACGAGGGCUGACAGUGCCCCAGUCUUGGCACUGACCAACACAGCUGUGCCCAGCUCCAGUGAGUCACCUCGGUAAGCACUGUGCUCCCGCUGCUUGCCGGGACCACGGGACCCAAAGGCCACCAGCCCGGUUUCGGUGCCCUGGUUUUCUUUGCUUGCCCGGCGGUUCCGCCCCACGCCCCACCCCGCAGCGGCGUUAAUGAUGGGGUAGGGAUUGCUCUGGGCUGGCGGGAGGUGUGGGUCACUCUGCCAGGGCAGUGAGCCGCGGUCAGUGGGACGCCGUGACACAGUGCCCCGAGCUGCAGCCAUCGGGGCUGGGCCAUGCUGCCCCAGGCAGUCCAGCCGGGGGAAGGUGCCCUCAGAGGGCCAGCCAGUAGGUGAUUGGGAUCAGUUUCCCC
Molecule: long non-coding RNA, 547 nt
Filed under: Gallus gallus (chicken)
Lineage: Eukaryota; Metazoa; Chordata; Aves; Galliformes; Phasianidae
Description: long non-coding RNA NONGGAT008223
Source: RNAcentral